Molecule: unclassified non-coding RNA, 229 nt
Filed under: plant metagenome
Description: partial contains small subunit ribosomal RNA, internal transcribed spacer 1, and 5.8S ribosomal RNA
Source: RNAcentral
UCUCCGUAGGUGAACCUGCGGAGGGAUCAUUGCAGAGUUCUCGCCCCUCCGGGUAGAUCUCGCACCCACUGUGAUUGAUACUGUGUUGCUUUGGCGAGCCGCCGGGCCCUGCCCGUCCGCCGGCCCCGGCUGCCGCGCGCCCGCCAGUGGCUCCGCAAACUCUGAAUGGCAGCGUCGUCUGAGUACUAUAUAAUAGUUAAAACUUUCAACAACGGAUCUCUUGGUUCUG